RNAcentral lists this ribosomal RNA (1494 nucleotides) under metagenome. RNAcentral describes it as "bacterial LSU rRNA". It matches the Rfam family "Bacterial large subunit ribosomal RNA", at positions 1293 to 2852 of the family's 2925-position model. The record is from RNAcentral.
CUCGCAGACAUAAGUAACGAUAAGGCCGGUGAAAUCCCGGUCCGCCGUAAACCCAAGGUUUCCUGGGCCAUGCUAUUCAUCCCAGGGUUAGUCGGGAGCUAAGCCGAGGCCGUAUGGCGUAGGCGAUGCCCAGCUGGUUAAUAUUCCAGCACUGCCGACAUUUAAGCGGAUGGGACGCGGUUGUGGAGGGAGCUCGCCGACUGAUAGUGGCGGGGGCGCAAGCUGACGGAGCGGGCAACCAAUCCGGAUCUUCCAAAGUGGCCGCCAAGAAAAGCAUCCGUGAAUACUAAGGCACCCGUACCGGAAACCGACACAGGUGGGUGGGUAGAAUAUACCAAGGCGCAAGAGUGAACCCUCGUGAAGGAACUUUGCAAUCUAAUCCCGUAACUUCGGAAGAAGGGAUGCCCCGUCCAGCGAUGGACAGGGCCGCAGUGAAAUGGGUCAACCGACUGUUUAUCAAAAACACAGCAUUGUGCGAAGCUGUAAGGCCAAGUAUACGAUGUGACACGUGACCAAUGCCGAAAGAUUAAGGCAAGGUGUUAGCCGCAAGGCGAAGCUCCGAACCCAAGUCCCGGUGAAUGUCGGCCGUAACGAUAACGGUCCUAAGGUAGCGAAAUUCCUUGUCGGGUAAGUUCCGACCUGCACGAAUCGUGUAACGAGUUGACCGCUGUCUCCACGAGGCGCUCGGUGAAAUUGUAGUGGCGGUGAAGAUGCCGCCUACCCGCAGAAGGACGGAAAGACCCUAUGCACCUUAACUGUAGGCUGUCACUGGUGCUUCGAUCUCGAUGCUCAGUGUAAGUGGUAGGCUUUGAGGCGGAUCUUUCGGGGUUCGCGGAGCCGUCAAUGAGACACCACCCUUUGAUGUUGAGGCAUCUAACCCUGGCCUUUUUACCAAGGCGGGGGACCAUGGCAGUUGGUCAGUUUGACUGGGGCGGUCUCCUCCCAAAGAGUAACGGAGGAGCGCGAUGGUUGGCUCAGCGCGGUUGGCAAUCGCGUGUCGAGUGUAUAGGCAUAAGCCAGCCUAACUGUGAGACAGACAUGUCGAGCAGAUGCGAAAGCAGGUCUAAGUGAUCCGGCGCUGGAAAGUGGAAUCGGCGUCGCUUAACGAACAAAAGGUACGCUAGGGAUAACAGGCUGAUCGCGCCCAAGAGUUCAUAUCGACGGCGCGGUUUGGCACCUCGAUGUCGGCUCGUCACAUCCUGGGGCUGGAGAAGGUCCCAAGGGUCCGGCUGUUCGCCGGUUAAAGUGGCACGCGAGCUGGGUUCAGAACGUCGCGAGACAGUUCGGUCCUCUAUCCUCUGUGGGCGUAGAAAACUUGAGGGGUUCAAUCCUUAGUACGAGAGGACCGGGAUUGACGCGCCGCUGGUGUUCCUGUUGUCUUGUCAAAGGCAUUGCAGGGCAGCCAUGCGCGGAAGGGAUAAGCGCUGAAAGCAUCUAAGCGCCAAGCCCAUCCCAAGAUGAGGUUUUCCUGAAGGGACGUUGUAGACCACGACG